Molecule: transfer RNA, 73 nt
Filed under: Patescibacteria group bacterium
Lineage: Bacteria
Description: tRNA-Trp
Rfam family: tRNA
About the family: Transfer RNA (tRNA) molecules are approximately 80 nucleotides in length. Their secondary structure includes four short double-helical elements and three loops (D, anti-codon, and T loops). Further hydrogen bonds mediate the characteristic L-shaped molecular structure. tRNAs have two regions of fundamental functional importance: the anti-codon, which is responsible for specific mRNA codon recognition, and the 3' end, to which the tRNAs corresponding amino acid is attached (by aminoacyl-tRNA synthetases). tRNAs cope with the degeneracy of the genetic code in two manners: having more than one tRNA (with a specific anti-codon) for a particular amino acid; and 'wobble' base-pairing, i.e. permitting non-standard base-pairing at the 3rd anti-codon position.
Source: RNAcentral
AUCACCUUAGCUCAACUGGCAGAGCAGCAGUCUCCAAAACUGAAGGUUGGGGGUUCAAGUCCCCCAGGUGGUG